RNAcentral lists this ribosomal RNA (689 nucleotides) under Pseudozyma sp. HB 1201. Its description in RNAcentral is "eukaryotic LSU rRNA". It matches the Rfam family "Eukaryotic large subunit ribosomal RNA", at positions 1 to 667 of the family's 3401-position model. The record is from RNAcentral. Lineage: Eukaryota; Fungi; Basidiomycota; Ustilaginomycetes; Ustilaginales; Ustilaginaceae.
CAAAUCGGCCUCAGAUUGGUAGGACUACCCGCUGAACUUAAGCAUAUCAAUAAGCGGAGGAAAAGAAACUAACAAGGAUUCCCCUAGUAACGGCGAGUGAAGAGGGAAGAGCCCAAGAUUGAAAGCUGGCGUCUUCGGCGUCCGCAUUGUAAUCUCAAGAAGUGUUUUCCGCUUCGGACCAUGCCUAAGUCCCUUGGAAAAGGGCAUCAUAGAGGGUGAUAAUCCCGUUCAUGGCAUGGAGCGCCCGAAGCUUUGUGAUACGCUUUCUAAGAGUCGAGUUGUUUGGGAAUGCAGCUCAAAAUGGGUGGUAAAUGCCAUCUAAGGCUAAAUAUUGGGGAGAGACCGAUAGCGAACAAGUACAGUGAUGGAAAGAUGAAAAGAACUUUGAAAAGAGAGUUAAACAGUACGUGAAAUUGCCAAAAGGGAAGGGUAGGAGGUCAGAGAUGCGUCUUGGAAUUCAGCCUUGCUUCUGCUUGGUGUUUUUUCCAUUUUGCAGGCCAACGUCGGUUUUGGGCACUGGAGAAGGGUGGAAGGAACGUGGCACCUCUCGGGGUGUGUUAUAGCCUUCUACUGGAUACAGCGACCGAGACCGAGGACAGCAGCGUACUCGCAAGAGCGGGCCUUCGGGCACCUUUACGCUUAGGGCGUUGGCAUAAUGGCCCUCUACCACCCGUCUUGAAACACGGACC